Molecule: long non-coding RNA, 200 nt
Filed under: Calidris pugnax (ruff)
Lineage: Eukaryota; Metazoa; Chordata; Aves; Charadriiformes; Scolopacidae
Description: lncRNA (ENSCPUG00000006620.1)
Source: RNAcentral
GAAACUGAUGCUGUAGCUGUCUCAUUCACUGUCAAAGGAAACAAUAAAGUAAUUGGAGCUGUUUCUGCCUGAGUUAUCCUUGGAAUACAGGAGAACAUGACACAAAGUGUGAAGUCCAGAGGACGUCAGUGUCAAGGUUCACAUGAAGAUUAGGUACCACAACUUGCGGUUUGGAAAACCCUGGAUCAACCUUUGCAUGC